This 253-nucleotide ribosomal RNA is filed under the name uncultured bacterium. Its description in RNAcentral is "partial 16S ribosomal RNA". It matches the Rfam family "Bacterial small subunit ribosomal RNA", at positions 524 to 776 of the family's 1533-position model. The record is from RNAcentral.
GACGUAGGGCGCGAGCGUUGUCCGGAUUUAUUGGGCGUAAAGAGCUCGUAGGCGGUUUGUCGCGUCGUCCGUGAAAACUCACAGCUUAACUGUGAGCUUGCGGUCGAUACGGGCAGGCUAGAGUUCGGUAGGGGAGACUGGAAUUCCUGGUGUAGCGGUGAAAUGCGCAGAUAUCAGGAGGAACACCGGUGGCGAAGGCGGGUCUCUGGGCCGUAACUGACGCUGAGGAGCGAAAGCGUGGGGAGCGAACAGG